AAAUAAACCUUAUUGUAGCGGCUAUCCUUUUUGCUGCAGGGCCAAACAAACAGCAAUAACAUUCGCAAAAAGAUAGAAGCGGAAAGAAGGACUGCCG
Molecule: small RNA, 97 nt
Filed under: Pedobacter sp. SG908
Lineage: Bacteria; Pseudomonadati; Bacteroidota; Sphingobacteriia; Sphingobacteriales; Sphingobacteriaceae
Also listed under: 1 other name
Description: Flavo-1 RNA
Rfam family: Flavo-1 RNA
Source: RNAcentral